GGGUCACCGCGCACGGGCGUCGCUGGAUCCGGCGACUCCAAAUCUGACCGCCACCGGAUCUGGUGAGUAAUGAAGCCCAUCUCCCCUAAUCUCUCUCCAUCUGUACUUGACGAUUUCGAUUUUAUUUUGAAUGAUUUGGACAUCCCUUGCUCCUUCACCUGAUGGCCGGCCUACCCUGCUCCUUCAUUUUCAGAUGUUUGUAUGUUUGUGACAGAGAGCAUCGGUUAUUGUUGUGGAAUGUGUGUGAAAUACAUUGAAACAUGAUUUGAACGGCAUGAUUUAUGAAUCGUAGAAUCCAGCGAAAACAAUUUAUAAAAUUGAGAAGUUGAUGAGUGAAUCGAUUUUUUUUUGUUAUUUGGUUUUGUGAUCUUAAAUUCUACAGUACAAAACAGUGUGCACAUAUGUCAAAUUGAUAGUCUGCGUUCUUUGAAACGACACUGGAAUCGUGGUAUGUAAAUUGGAAUAACUGAAAUGACAUUGUUCAAAAUUAGAAUUGUUUAUUCAACUCUUUUGAAAUAGCAAAUUAGAAUUGGAAUAACUGAAAUGACAUUGUUCAAAAAUAUCACUGUGAUUUUUUUUUGAAAUAGCAAAUUAGAAUUGGAAUAACUGAAUUGGAAUAGCGAAUUGUUUAUUCAACUCUUUUGAAAUAGCAAGUUUCAGUCUUUUAUAGAAAAUAUCACUGUGAUUUUUUUUAAAGGAUUGAAUGUACUUUUUGAAGGAUAGAAACUCCGCCUUCUACAUCCCAAGCUACCGAUCCAAGAAUAAACCAUGGAGCGGAGGGUGUCAAUAGUAGUUGCAUCUAUGUUCAUGUUAGCACUCGUCUUCUGUCAUGGUAAGUAAAAACACAUAUUACGAAAGCUUUACUUCAAAUAUAUAUAUCGUGUCUUAAUGCGUUUCUCUGGAUACAGGUACGGAUGCUAAGUGUAAGCAACAAACCUACAAACUUCCUGUUCCUUGUAAUCAUGACAGUUGUGAUCCCUUUUGCACACAACAUAAGUACGAAUCUGGGACAUGUGGUUUUACUGGCGAUCCUGAUGAAAUUCUUUGCUACUGCAUUACCUGCGAUGAGAAGACUUUAGUUGAUCAAAUGGCACCGCGAAUCCAAGGGGACACAAAUGGCGCAUGAACAUGCAGUUCAUGAUGUAGUGAAAGAUUAGUGCUCUGAGUGUGAUUGUCGUAUUUAGUAUGAAAAUAUAUUGGUGGUGACUGAUAAAGGCAUUGGUAUUUAGUAUUUAGUAUUUAGUCCCUCUGUAAUCUAAACGCUCUUAUAUUUCUUCAGUAUUUAGUAUGAAACCCUAGCACUAGCAUCACACUCAUGUCGUCCUACGUUUGUCCCACUGUGACGCCCGGGUAAUUAAGCUACAGUGAACCUCUGCUAAUGAUGCCACGUGACCUUGGUUAUUGUGGCUAAUCUCGCGUUAGUUCGAAACCGAUUCAAAUUAAAUUCAAAAUCAAGCAAACAAUAAAAAAAUUCAAAUAUUAAAA
This 1485-nucleotide long non-coding RNA is filed under the name Triticum aestivum (bread wheat). RNAcentral's name for it is "long non-coding RNA (TAES_LNC018415)". Lineage: Eukaryota; Viridiplantae; Streptophyta; Magnoliopsida; Poales; Poaceae. The record is from RNAcentral.